Molecule: non-coding RNA, 13638 nt
Organism: Rattus norvegicus (Norway rat)
Lineage: Eukaryota; Metazoa; Chordata; Mammalia; Rodentia; Muridae
Source: RefSeq, a predicted model, not a curated record
GCGCGGGCUUGCGUGCGAGGAUAGAGGGGCAGGCCUUGGGGUCCCGGAAUGUUGGGGGCUGGGGUCAGUCAGGGUGUCCAGAGCCGGUGUCUAGACUAUCGAGAUGUCGUGCAAACCUCGCGGUGUCAGGGGCCAGGUGGAGAUAUUGAGAAUCUUGGGUUGUUUAGGGUUGGGUUGGGAUUCUAGUCAUGUCAGCAGUUGGGAUCCUGAGAAUCUGGGUGUUAGGGGCCGGGUGGAGAUACUGAGGAUCCUGAAGUGUCAGCGGCUGGGAGCCUGAGAUUCUUGGGGUGUCAAGGUCGAGCUGGAACUUGAGAAUGUCUGGGUGUUUCAGGAUAGGUUGGAAUCUUGAGGAGCUAGGGGUGCCAGGCGCUGGGCUGGACUCGGUGGCCAGCAGGUGCCCCCAGCUGUGCAGAGCUGCUGUGAAUCUCUCUCCCAAGGUCCCCCCUGCUUUGACCCUGGUUUCACCCUACAUUUUCCUCCUUGGGUUGUUUAAAUGGCUCAGGGUUGGAAGAGCCAAUUUAUCGUUGAGUUUCCCCCCUCCUCACUGCAGCACCAACCGCGGGGAUGAAGGUUCUGGGCCACGCCUGCAUUCAGUGGCUCUGGGGGCACGGCUGUGGGCCUCUCAAGGUUUGGAAUUCCUUUCUUUGCAUUGAGAUUAUAAUGAGUUUUAAGUGGAUGAACGCACCUCUUUUCUGGAGACCCCUGGCCUCCUGUAUCUUUCCCUUCCUCCCUUCCUCCAGCAUAUGUUUGCAUUAUAGAGAUUUAUAAAUAUAUUUCCUCUUUAUGGCCAGAGGCCUUGGAUAUGGAGCUGUGGUUUUGUUUUUUUGGUUUUUUUUUUUUUGUUGUUGUUGUUGUUUUCGUUUUUUUUUCAUCUUUUUGUUGUUGUUGUUGUUUGUUUGCUCCUGCAGCACCCAGGCGUUCUCAAUGCACGUGCUGGGUGCUCCCCCUCCCCCAACCGAGGUAAGACUAAACAACUACUACUAUGCAUGGUUGGCCCACGCUUGCCUGUACUGAGACCUGAAACUUUGACUCAGUCUGUGCUGGUCCCAGAGAGGGACUCCCACGGAAAAUCGUGGUGAUCUGUCAGGUGAUCCCCAUCCAGUAUGUGCCCCCUGCUUUCUUCCUGCCACAGGGUGGGGUCAGGGUACCUCCAGGAAGGUUCUACUCAUUGUCUGAGUGCGAUGGAAACCUCCCCAAGAGUUUGCAGUCCAGCGAGGAGUAGAUUUUUAUUUCAGAUGUGGCCUUAGUGGGUGAACAAUUAUAAGCCAGGCAGCAGCUCUGAGGGAUUCAGCACGGCUGUGUGAGAAAGAGCUGACCUAGAUGGGUCAGAGACAGGCAAGUGGACAGGCAGACCUGGGGUUCAGGUCUGGGAGUGUGGCUUGGGCACCUUACCUUGAGAAAGGUGAGGACACAAUUGAAGAACUUCGGCGGUUUGGACUUUGAGAGGGUGGGACCCUGGAAAGGGUGUCAUGAGGCACACAACAGCCUGGUCCACUAUCACCCAGAACCAGCAUCCACUCUUCCUGUGGCACUGGGGCAUAAUGCUUGUCCCUGUACGCUAAAGGCACUAUCCAGUGGGUGACUGGCUUUGUCAAGGCCACAGGUGGCCUAUGUAUGCCUCUGUGGUGUGGUGUGGUGUGGUGUGGUGUGGUGUGGUGUGGUUUGAUUUUUCUGCCAGGAGCCACUAUAAGAAAUGCCUCCAGCAAAAUACACUCUCUAGCUCAUUGUCAUCCUUUUCUUUGAGUCGCCUGAGGAGUUCCUGGGAGGAGUAGAGCCCUCAAAGAAAGCCUCCCGGUGUCAUGGCCAAGUGAGGCAGGAGGAGGACAGCAUGGGAGGCAGCCUUGUCCCUUGGUUCUCUCAGGAAAUGAUAGGUAAUAAGGCGGACAUCACCACACACCCUCUGCUUCACGGCACGCAAAGUUAAUUAGGGUUUGCUCACCACAGCGUACUGAUUAAACUCUGAUCGUGAAGCUGUCACUGUUAGUAUUACCUCAGGGACUGGAGAUAAAACUCAGUGGCAGAGAGCUUACCUAGCAUGUGCAAGAUACCAGGAGGCACACACAUUUUGUGUGUGCCUGUUUAUUAAUUUACUUAUUUCUAAUUUACGUGCAUUGGUGUUUUGCCCAGGUGUAUGCUUGUGCGAGGGAGAUCUUGGAGUCACAGACAGUUGUGAGCUGCCAUGUGGGUGCCUGGAAUUGAACCCAGGACCUUAGGAAGAACAGUCAGUGCUCUUAACCACUGAGCCAUCUCUGCAGCCCUGUGAAUAUUUACCUUUUCCCUUAUUUCAAGGUAUUUUUCCCAAAUAUGACUUUAGUUUUAUUUUUUUGUUUGUUUUGAGACAGGGUCUUUCUCUAUAGUUCUGGAUGGCUUAGAAUUCACCGUGUAGCCCAGGUUGGCCUCACACGUAUGGCAAUACCCCUGCCUCUGCCUCCCAAGUGCUAGGAUUAUAGACAUGUGUUCCUGUUUCCAGGGUUUUAAUUUUCUUUUCUUUUCUUUUUUCUUUCUUUCUUUUUUUUUUUUUUUUUGGAGCCAGGACCGAACCCAGGGCCUUGGGCUUGCUAGGCAAGCGCUCUACCACUGAGCUAAAUCCCCAACCCCCAGGGUUUUAAUUUUUAACUAAGUCUGAAUCUAAUAUUUCUUUCAAUGGAGGAAACGUGUGUGUGUGUAUGUGUAUAUAUGUAUAUAUAAUAUAUUACAGUAUUUAUUAUAUAUUAAUAAGUAGAAGUUUAUCUUUAGAAAGAGGCACAAGUGUUCCCUAAGGCCUCUGCCCUGAAAGAAAAGUCACCCAAAACCAAGGCAAAGGCUGUCACUUUCCCUUAUCAGUGGCUGUGUUUACAAAGCAUUGUUCCCCAAAUUAAAACAACCAGGUCCUCUCCUUCCGGAGGACGUUUGCCUGUUGGCUGGCAGAGGAAUGUUUGCCUAACCUUUAAGUUCCUCGUGUUGGGGCUGGUUCUCUUUCUUUUGUGAAAGGGAGGCUCUGUGGCUUGGUGGAGGUUGAUGAAAGCUAAGAGGCAGUGAGUGCUUCUGCCUCCUGUUUGUAGAGCGGCUGCUACACCCCGCACUGGCUGAGUGAGGCCCAGCACCUCCUGAGCCCGAAUCCCCUAACCCCGCGAUCACUGCUUCAGAUCACAUGAUACCAUAAUGCAAAUUGGAAGGUUACACAGGUAGGCUUCUGGUGGAAAGGUGCAGUGGUUACCCAGUCUACCUGGUUAGACUGAGGCACCUAGUAUAUUAUAUUAGUAAAGCAUACUCUAGGUAUGUCUGUGGUGGGUUUCUGGGAGGGGGGUGCGUACUUAUCAAUUAUCUAUCCCUUAAUAGAUUCAUGAUCUGAUAUUACUAUCGACAACCUGUCUCUUCUUGUACACCCUUCGCUCUGCAUCCUAGCAUCUAUUUCCAACGUCCCAGGCCCCAUGGGAUGACCCUUGUGAAACUAAGCAAAACAAGUCCUCCUCCCUUCAGCAAUCUUGGUCCCAGCAAACAACAUGACACUGAAUCCUCAGCCUGAGCCCCCCUGAUCUGAAAGGAGGGAGGUUCUAUUGUUAGAGAAACAGCCCCAGGAUUGGGGAUUUAGCUCAGUGGUAGAGCGCUUACCUAGCAAGCACAAGGCCCUGGGUUCGGUCCCCAGCCCAGGAAAAAAGAAAAAAAAGAAAAAGAAAAAGAAAAAAAAGAGAAACAGUCCCCUGGGUUCAGUGAGGACUAGCUGGACCACCCCAAUGCUAACCCCAAGAUCAGUAGCCUGAGACCCCAGGGCUUGAAAACUAUCCUUCAGUUACAUAAACCUUUAGGAGAGAUGGCUGGAAAGGUGGCUCAGUGGUUAAGAGCACUGACCGCUCUUCCAGAGGUCCUGGGUUCAAAUCUCAGCAACCACGUGGUGGCUCACAACCAUCGGUAAUGGGAUCUGAUGCCCUUUUCUGGUGUGUCUGAAGACAGCUACAGUGUAGUUAAAUAUAAUAAAUAAGUAAAUCUUUUUUUAAAAAGCACAAGAAAAACACACCUUUAAGUUCCCCGUGUUGGGGCUGAUCAGACAGAGUAGGGUAUUUCUGGACGGACACUAAAUGGCUGGUCACAGAAAUCACUAAACAGUGCGUGCAGGACGAAUUUGAGACAGGUGUCUACCCCCUUCGGUCUACUCCGUGUACUGCGUGAGUGACUCCUGAGACAGAGGAAGUCCAUUCUUGCUGGUUGCUUCCAUUGUAGUAAAUUCAGCAUGGAAUACUUCACCUAGUAAAGAACAUAGCACUCUGGUGUCUGACGUGCAACACUGAGAUCAUCAGAGUGCUUUCUGCUAACUACUCAUCGUGUGUGUGUGUGUGUGUGUGUGUGUGUGUGUGUGUGUGUGUGUGUGUGUGUGUUUGUGUGCCUGUGUGAGUGUGCGUGAGUAUAUGUGUGUGUGUAUGUGUGUGUAUGUGUGUGUAUGUGUGAGUGUGUGUGUGCAUCUGCAUGUGUGUGUAUGUGCGUGCAUAUAUGAGUGACUAUGCCCUGUGAAUGGGUGCCUACAAGGCCAGAAGGGGCCAUCUGAUCUCCUGGAUCUGGAGUUCUAGGCAGUCGUGAGCUGGGUGCUGGGAUUGAACUCAGGUUCAAUUCCCAGUUCAGGUAGUUACAACCCCCUAAGUCCAAAUCCAGGGGGACCCAACAAAUCAAAUCUGACCUCUGUAGGCACUUGCAUUCAUGUGCAUACACCAUCCCCACCAACACACACACACACACACACACACACACACACACACACACACACACGCACACACCGGCAUGAUUUAAAAAAGAAAAAGACAGGGUUUCAUGUAGCCCAGGCUAGACAUCCGGUCCUUCUGCCUCUAUCUCCUGAAACAGGUCGCAAGACUGAGCCACCACAUCCGUCUCCAUCUUCUCCCAGGGUCCAGAUGACCUGUCUUGGUCCUCUGUGCAAUCCAAGGACAGCCAGCCAGAACUGGCUUUGAUGCGAAGCCAUUGGAGCAACCAUGAUUUUCGGUCUCAGAGAAGAGGAAACAAAAAGCCAAAAUAAACAGACACUUGGCGUGGAGGCCUGGUUUUAUUAUUCUGCUUGUGACAGAAAUCAGACAGUCCCAUUGUGGUGGUGGAAAUGGAAGGCUAAUAAAACCUGUUCUGUGGACUGAGUUUCCUGGACCGAUGAGAUCACACGGGCACCUCCUGUAGCCUGAAAAUAGGCAAAACAAGUCUCCCUGCCGAGGACCCGGAUCUGGAGCCAAGGCCCUGCCAAGCCUCCCUCGGAGCAGAGCAUGGGAGAACCUACUUGCCAGCUCUGGAGGUGCCCUGGAGAGACUAAGGGUCAGAUGGGGGUGGGGGUGGGCCAGCCAAAGAAGUCAUGGGGUGACAAGCAGGGCCUGGGGUACCCACUCAGGUGCUGCAGGGCACAUUUGUGCCCAAGACGCAGCUCAGAACCCUGUGGAGUUUGCUCAGUGCACAACCCCAGUGCUUUUCAGGUGUCUGGCUUCAUUGUUUUUUUUUUUUUGUUUUUUUUGGUUUUUUUUUGUUUUUGUUUUUGUUUUUUUUUUCUUUUUCUUUUUUUUUUUUUCAGAGCUAGGGACCGAACCCAGGGCCUUGCGCUUGCUAGGCAAGCGCUCUACCACUGAGCUAAAUCCCCAACCCUCUGGCUUCAUUGUUACUGUUUGCACGAGGACUCCCCUUUGUCCCAGCUCAGGACUACCUGGUAGCCUCUCAUUCACCUUGGUCUCCAACGCCUUGUGCGGGCAAAGAUGACCUUGAAUGUCUGAUGCUCCUGCCUCUACCCUCUGAGUGGGAGAUUAUAGGUGUGCACCACCACGCCCAGCUCAUGAACACUGGGUAUCAAACCUGGUACUUUGUGUGUAUGAGGCAGGCUUGCCGAGGUCAUAAAAACAUCACAAAGGUUCUGGCUCAUUUCUCAGGAACACAAUUCCUGCUCCUUAGUUACCCCUGCUCAUGCAUAGACGAUUUCUAGAUGUUGACAGGCCUCAAUUUUCAGGGCCGAUCAAAACUCUUCUGACACUAAUGGUCGGUCCUCUGCCCACUGCUACACUGGGGACUUUCCCACCCCAAGAAGCAGGUAUGUGCAUUAGUCAGUGGUUAGUCUUAUCUGCGGAUGGGAGGGGAGCCAUAUACUUCGUGCCCAGAACUCAAACCCACUAUGAGGUGGACCGAGAUCCCACAUGCAGCUGGAGAUGUCCGAGAGGCCAACCUUCCUCACCCCUAGCCAUGUGACCAGAUUCUGUUGACUUACCGUGAUCCAUAUGGAGUGGAACCUAUCUGUGGAUCCAGGGCUAAUUCGGCUACAAAGUGGGAGUGCACGGUGGUCCCUCAGACCUAGGAGGCCUCUAGAUCAUGGGCACUGUCCAUCUGUACAGUAUCCUGUUCAGAGAGCCCAUGCUUUCUGUGUGUGCCUGUGGUGGCCAGAUCACAGAACUCAUCGCAAUAGGAGGUCAGACUUUCUAAGACGAUGAGACCUCGGGUCCCUGCCCUCGGUGUGUCAAAGCUGACACCCCAUGAGCCUGCUCCCCAUAAAGGAAGAGCUGAGAGCCAGCUGACAGUUCUCUGUCUAGCACGCUUACCCGCCCAUCUACUAUGCCAAGGCACAUCGGGAGGGCCCUUUGAAUCAGCCAUCAAUCAAGGUAGCUGUUCACACUGGGUGCGGUCACCUGUGAUACCAGUACUUGGGAGGCAAUCUUUGCAAUCUUCUGAAAAUCAUCUUGACAGACUAUUUGCCCUUGUUUCUUUAGUGUUUGCCCGGCUUCAUCCUUCCGUUAACCUAAUCAAGUCCAACAGUCUACUCUUUAAUACACUUAAAACUUGUUCCUGAUUAAGGGCUUCUGCCCUAAUCGGACAUCUUUAUCUUUAGCUCGCUGUGUCCUACACUGGUGCUGACCUCUCAUUCUGGGCUGCCUUUCCCUCAGGAGGACACCAGACUCCGCAUUUUCUGAAAUGUACAUGCCCUUCAUGCUGAGCCCUGCCAGCUCUUUUUAGAUUGUUGUCAUCCACAGACAUUUGGGCAAGCCGUCAUCAGGGUCAUCUGCUGGCCAUCUUGCUUUGUCCUCAGUUCCUGACCGACCUGGUGCCUGAUGCAUCUCUACAGAGGACUGGUCAGUACCUCAGCCUCAUGGCUCUGCAGGGUCAAUUCUGGCCACCUUCUCUUCUUCUGCUUCAGGUAUUCAAUUCCCUGGCUUUACCCUGGGCGCCUUCUGCCCAGUUCCCAUCACUGACUACAUCGAUCCUGAAGUGAAAGUCCCUGCCUCUUUGAAAGGCCCCUGGUGAAGUCUGUGCCCUUCCCAGAUACCCUGCCCUUCCCCCCCCCCCAGCUCCAGUGUCUGCAUUUACUGCCCUGCUUCUCUGUGUUGCGAGGACAUGUGCUUUGCAACAUCCUGGCCCAGUCUUCUACCAGAUCUGCUGCUCCAGGGCGGUGAGCUUUGUAGCGGGGAGAUGGUCAGGAUUCUCUCCCUCCGCAAGGGCACAGACUUCACCAGGGGCCUUUCAUGGUCAACCCGUUUGAGGGAUGCUUCCCGUGGCUUCAACCUUGUCUGCUCACAGGAUCGUCCAGCUGAAUCUGCCAUUCAGUAUCUCAAAAUAGAUUCUUCCCGCAUCCUUUGACACACCUCUAUUGGUCUUCAUCUCGCAAACUCUAAGCUUGAAAGCAAGGAGGCCCCAAAUCUUCCACCUACCUGUCCAAAGCCAAGUGCCUCUUGGACUAGGAAGAGGGACCCUGGGGGGUGUGCAGUUCAAGGGCCCCCAUCCCUCUAUGGCCUGCAGCAACCUCAACUUCAAAGUGGCAAUAUGAAGGGGAAACUAAGAAGGCAUUCUAGAACUCGUGUUCAAAGCUCUCCGCUGUGAGGGUGUUAGCAUGUGAGGGUGUGUGUCCUGGAAGGGGGCCACCAUGUUUGUGUCUCCUUACCACUUUCUCCUUUGGAGAAGUGGGCAGCAUUCUUGGGAGGACCAGGUUGUUGUCUCCUGAGGUCUAGUGCUGGCAGACUGCAGGUGGUGUGAACACACACACACACACACACACACACACACAUUGGCAUUCUCUCAUCUUGGGGGUUGGACAUCCAGUUUCAGAUAAGUUUUAUCUUAACAGCCAGUUCCACAAUGCACUCAGAAGAAAAAAAAGAUAGCAGGGUCCCAUGAUGCAGCGUGGGGCCAUGAUCCGAGUCUGAGAACAGGACCAGAGUUAAAGCAAAAUGGGGUCAGAGCUGGCAGAGCUGCAGACAGGCACUGUCGGCCAACCAAGCCUGAGGUCACAGGCACUGGAUGUUGAGCACAGUGUGCAAUGCUGUUUCGUCAUUUCCACUGGUCCCUACUGCACACUGUUCUGUGCCUUGGCUCACCAUCCUGCUGGGGUCUGCUGGGGUCUGCUGGGGUCUGGGGAGGAGGUAGGGCAUUGAGUGUCAUGUCCUCUGACUACUGUGACCUUUUCUGCUCCAUAGUGCCUUCCAAGGAAGGGUGGCUGUGUCUACUCACUGCUGCUGAUUGCUUGAUAGCUUUCCCAUCAUCCCAUCUGACAUUUAUCAUAUGGAAAGUUAGAAGUACACUGGCAUGAGGUCCCAUUUUAGCGUUCCUAUUUUGGGAUAUAGACUCUUUCCUGCCUUGGAGCUAAUUCCUCCCUGAAGAAACCAUUACCUUGUGAGUGUCAUAACCAUGGGGUUUUCAAGAGGAUCCUGGAAAGAAAUACCCUGAGGAUGGAAAUUCAUUCCACCAUGAUUUGGAAGGGAACAGAAUGCUCGUGCUCGCUCGCGCGCUCUCUCUCUCUCUCUCUCUCUCUCUCUCUCUCUCUCUCUUUCUCUCUCACACACACACACACACACACAGCCAUGUAAUAAAUAUUCAUAAACUAUAAAAUUUCUCAGCUCAGAGCCCUGUGCUGUUCCUUCCACAACCCCUUGCCACCUUAGCUCUCUCUCUCCGCCUCCUUUCUGUUGAUUGGCUGUUGGAUGGGUGAGUGGGGGAUGUUAUUGUUGUUGGGUUAGGGUCUCACGGAUCCCUGGUUACCAUCUAAAUCCUUUUUUCUUACAAUUUUUUUAAGAUUUAUUUAUUUAUUAUAUUUAUAUAUUUAUUAUAUAUUUAUUAUAUUAUAUAUUUAUUUAUUUAUUAUAAAUAUAAGUAGCUGUCUUCAGACACACCAGAAGAGGGCGCCAGAUUUCAUUACAGAUGGUUGUGAGCCACCAUGUGGUUGCUGGGAUUUGAACUCAGGACCUCUGGAAGAGCAGUCAGUGCUCGUAACCACUGAGCCGUCUCUCCAGCCCCUGGCCCUUGUUUUGAAGCAGGGUCUCACACUGUAGCUCAGACUAGCUUUGAACUCUUAGUGACCCUCUUGCCUGUGCCUCCCCAGACCUGGGAGCCCAGGUAUGACUCACCACACCCAGCUGAUUCCUUUAAUGUUAGUGUCAUAAAGCCCCCAAUCACUGUGCCUUUUGGUGCUGACCCUCGUUAACAAAUAUUAGGUUUUCCUCUGUCUUCGUUCUCUUUCAGGGUCCCCCUGUGUGUUUGUUUUGGUGGUGGUGGUUUGGUUUGGUUUGGUUUUUUCUCUCUCUCUCUCUCUCUCUCUCUCUCUCUCUCUCUCUCUCUCUCUCUGUGUGUGUGUGUGUGUGUGUGUGUGUGUGUGUGUGAGAGAGAGAGAGAGAGAGAGAGAGAGAGAGAGAGAGAGGCGCUCUAUUGCCUGCUGGUAAUUUUCCCACAGUUUCCACUGCACACAUCCUCUCUUCACUGUGUCUUUGUCUGUUCCUCGAUCUGCGUUGAGUACUGGUUUUGUUGGUUUUUCAUCACUGGGGACUGAACCCAGGCCUCUGGACACUGCAGGCAUGCCCUACUGCCUGGUCCUUGAUACAUGCCCAGCCCUCUGCUUUCACUUUUUAUUAUGAGACAAAGUUGUCCAGGCUGGAUUCGAACUUGUGUUUCUCUUGCCUCAUUCUCUCAAAUGGAAAGGUUGGAGUACCAGGCUCUGUGAGAACUUAUGUUUAAUGGUUAUCAUUUUUCUUCCUAGGCCAUCUAGACUAUUGCACCCGUUCUCCCAAGCCUCCUGUUCCUUCAUUUUUUUUUUUUUUCUUUUUUUCGGAGCUGGGGACCGAACCCAGGGCCUUGUGCUUGCUAGGCAAGUGCUCUACCACUGAGCUAAAUCCCCAACCCCCUGUUCCUUCAUUUUUUUUUUUUUUUUUUGGUUCUUUUUUUCGGAGCUGGGGACAGAACCCAGGGCCUUGCGCUUCCUAGGUAAGCGCUCUACCACUGAGCUAAAUCCCCAGCCCCCCCUUCAUUUUUAACUGCAUUUUCAUGUUACUCGUUGUCCUGAUGGCUCCUACCAGGCUGCUCAUUGGCAGGUCCUGAAGGCAGGGUCUGCAUGCGGUGAGGCACUGAGGUGCAUCCCCACCCCCGUGCCCCUGUUCUCUGUGUGUGAGCUCCAGGACCCUCACCCAAACAGGAUCACCAUUUGGCUUAUGCCACUAAUCAUAAUGUCCUCAGGAGGGAUUUUGUAGUUUCUGGUUGUAAACUUAUCUUCAGAGGACUGUGUGUGUGUGUGUGUGUGUGUGUGUGUGUGUGUGUGUGUGUGUGUGUGUGUGUUUGUGGGGAGGAGGGGGGCUCUGUGUCCCUGUGUCUACAUUGCUUUCUGGGGUUUUUAUUGUCGACUUCCUGACUUGGGCUUUAUUAUCUGGAAUAAUUACAGUAUCGGCUCAUAAUUCAUUUUCCAAAGGGACUGUUCCCACCCUCCUGAGAGGAGUGAGUGGGUUUUUGACGUUGUCCAAGGUACUCCAGACCCCCUCCGCCCUUCCCCCCAGACUGCACCUGCACUGUUCCAGCCAGGCACCGUCACUCCUGGUUUCCUAAACGCUGGACCAUUCUUGGAUAUUUUGCCAAAGUGAUUUCAAACAAAAUGUCUUCUGUUUAUAAUCUGUUAGCUUUCUGAGCUUCCGUGUUUUUGCAUAGAGAUCAUGUAUCUUUCCGGUCCUUUCUCCAUCAUGGAACACUUAUAUGUCACCCUCUGCCCAGGCGUGGCAAUGGUGCAGUCAAUAGUUUAUGGAGGAUGGUUCAACAAAUCUGAGCCAAAGUCCAUGCUCAGCUGCGUGAAUCCAAGGUCCAGAGUGUUCAGUGUCCCAGCCUCUCUUCCUUCUCCCACAAUACUCAAGAAAUAAGAGACCCAACAUUUCAUCCUUUUUUUUUUUAAAUCUUCUCUUUACAUCUUAUAGAACUUUAUUUCCUAACAGAAGAGACUACUGAGCAAGGCGGAGACAUUCCAGUUCCCUUGGCCUGGCAAUCGUAACCACCUUACUUCAGGUUCUUGGUGUGAAAAGCUGUUUAGCGAGAAUGAUUAGGCUUGGUUUUCCAUGUUUUUUUUCCUGUGGAUGGGGAUACACACACUCCCCCCGCCCCCACCUCUUCCUCCAGGAGAGCCUGAGUGUGAUUCCUCCAAACCCAUGUAAAAGCUGAGUGUACUAGUGUAACACACAGCUGGAUCCUGGUGUCCUACGUGGAGAUGGGAGGUGGAGACAGGAGACAGAAUCACCAGCUCUCCAGCCAGUGCACGCUGUUAGAUUAAAAACAAAAACAAAAACAAAGGGGGCUAGAGAGAUGGCUCAGUGGUUAGAGCACUGGCUGCUCUUCCACAGGUCCUGAGUUCAAAUCCCAGCAACCACAUGGUGGCUCCCAACCAUCUGUAAUGGGAUCUGAUGCCCUCUUCUGGUGUGUCUGAAGACAGCUACAGUGUACUUAUAUAUAAUAAAUGAAUAAAUAAAUCUUUGAAAAAAAAACAAAAAAAAAAAACAAAAAAACCCUGUCUCAAACAAAACAAAAUGCAACAGGCAGCACCCGAGACGGUCCUUUGACCUCCAGAAAUGUCUCAUGGCACAAGCUUACCACAUUCAUACACACCACAUAUGUCGUAUGUAUGAUAUAAAGACUGAAAUUUUGCAUGUACAUUUCAGUGGUAUUAAAGCACAGUCACAUUUCUUAAUUCAGUGGUGACCUACAGUCUCUAGAACUCUCAUGUCUAAAGCCGAUCGAUGCUCAUGCCAUGAGAUAAAGUUCUCUAUUUUUACCCCAUCCAGGCCCUGGCACCCAUCACCCACUUUCAGUUUACUGUAAGGUCCUCACGUAAAUGGAAUCAUCAGUAUCUGUCAUUGUAUGACCGGUUUAUGUCACUAAUGUCCUUAAAGGUCAUCUGGUAUAGCAAGUAUUUGAAACAUUUCCCUUCUUAAGGCAAAGUUCCAGUCCAUUGUGUGACACACUGUGUGGACACAUUGUAUGGACACACUGUGUGGACACAUUGUAUGGACACACUGUGUGGACACACUGUAUAGACACAUUGUAUGGACACACUGUAUGGACACACUGUAUGGACACAUUGUAUGGACACACUGUAUGGAUACACUGUAUGGACACAUUGUAUGGACACACUGUAUGGACACACUGUAUGGACACAUUGUAUGGACACACUGUAUGGACACACUGUAUGGACACACUGUAUGGACACACUGUAUAGACACAUUGUAUGGACACACUGUAUGGAUACACUGUAUAGACACAUUGUAUGGACACACUGUAUGGAUACACUGUAUGGACACAUUGUAUGGACACACUGUAUGGACACACUGUAUGGACACAUUGUAUGGACACACUGUAUGGACACACUGUAUGGACACACUGUAUGGACACACUGUAUAGACACAUUGUAUGGACACACUGUAUGGAUACACUGUAUGGACACAUUGUAUGGACACACUGUAUGGACACACUGUAUGGACACAUUGUAUGGACACACUGUAUGGACACACUGUAUGGACACAUUGUAUGGACACACUGUAUGGACACACUAAGCUUAAUUAUUUUUAUGUGUGUGUUUUGCCUGUGUGUAUGUAAGUGUACACUAUGUGUGCAGCUGAUGCGUCAGAGGCCAGAUGAGGAUGCUGGGUCCUCUAGAACUGGAGUUUCAAGUAGCUGUAAACUGCCACGUGCAUGCUGGGAAACAAACCUAGGUGCUCUGCAAACGCAGCCAGUGCUCUUAUCAAUAAGUCAUUCCUCCAGCCCUUAUUAUAACUUGUUUUUGAAACAGAAUUGAAGUUUAUUAAAAUAUAUUUUAACAUACAUUUUAUACAUAAUUAUUAAAAGAAAGAGAAGCACUCAGGAAGAAAGAAGAGCAGGGUCUCCAUGCCAUGCUUUAAAAACAUGCAGUGGGAAGCUGACGUUGUUGGUAUUUAAAUGCUGACAAUUCUAAUGCACUGUCCCAUGAUUUUCUGCAACCAUUUGGACAUCAUUGGAGACCAAAUAGGCUUAAUCUCUGAGUGAUGGUUAUAGUUCCAGAAAGUGGUGGCAGGGCCAUAUCAAAAACUAGCACCUGUCAGCUUAAUGGGGGAGAACAGGAGCGGCUAGGGUCAUGAGCACAUGGUCCCAUCUGGAAGAGGAUGUGGUCUGGAGAGAGGAUUACAGAGCAGUGCCGUCAGGGCGGGGCUUGCAGCAGAUAGGGUUACUUCUGGAGCAAGGAGCCAAUGGUGUGCAGCUCCCAGCUCUGCAGGACUAGAGUUCUUAGUAGAGAAAGCAAUUGGGCUGGGGAUUUAGCUCAGUGGUAGAGCGCUUACCUAGGAAGCGCAAGGCCCUGGGUUCGGUCCCCAGCUCCGAGAGAAAAAAAAGAACCAAAAAAAAAAAAAAAAAAAACAACCAAAAAACCAGAAA